Molecule: transfer RNA, 67 nt
Filed under: Marmota monax (woodchuck)
Lineage: Eukaryota; Metazoa; Chordata; Mammalia; Rodentia; Sciuridae
Description: tRNA.Ala
Rfam family: tRNA
About the family: Transfer RNA (tRNA) molecules are approximately 80 nucleotides in length.
Source: RNAcentral
GGUUGUGGCUCAGUGGUAGAGCGUUCACCUAGCAUGAGUGAGGCACUGGGUUCAAUUCCUAGCACCA